Molecule: non-coding RNA, 23 nt
Filed under: Cricetulus griseus (Chinese hamster)
Lineage: Eukaryota; Metazoa; Chordata; Mammalia; Rodentia; Cricetidae
Source: RNAcentral
GUAGAGCCAGUGGCGGAGUCCAA